This is a non-coding RNA of Triticum aestivum (bread wheat), 126 nucleotides long. The record is from Rfam. Lineage: Eukaryota; Viridiplantae; Streptophyta; Magnoliopsida; Poales; Poaceae.
AACAUACUCUCCCUGUCCGAAAAAGCUUGUCCCAAGCUUGUGUCUCAAAUUGAUGUAUCUAGCACUAACUUGGUGCUAGAUACAUCCAUUUGAGGGACAAACUUUUUCGGAUGGAGGGAGUACACA